Long non-coding RNA from Corticium candelabrum, 600 nucleotides. RefSeq lists it as uncharacterized. The transcript has 3 exons. The record is from RefSeq and is a predicted model, not a curated record. NCBI's taxonomy places the organism in Eukaryota, Metazoa, Porifera, Homoscleromorpha, Homosclerophorida, Plakinidae.
UCGUGUCGACGUCACGGAGACCGGCAUAGGCCGUAGCCCUACCACUCCAUCCACAACGGAGACCGGCGUAGGCCGUAGCCCUACCACUCCAUCCGUCGACGAACGACCGAGCCACGAGGACCGCAGACGACCCACGAAACGAGUCGAGUGCAUCCGCCCGUAGCAACCUGUAAGGUCGGUGUGAUUUAUUUUACCUUGAGAGGUGUACAAUGUCGACGCACGGAAUGACUGGCGGUCUGGCGAUCGGAGACGUUGGGUGGGCGGUGUGCUGCUGUUGGCUAUCCAGUGGGUUGCAUGGUUUGCCUAUCAUCGAGAUGAAUGUCUUGGAAAAACCGCUGCUCGUCUCGGCGGCGUGACGUGGAAGAGUUGGAGCAUUUAUAGAGAGAGUGUUAUUUCCGUUGUGUUCGGUGAGAGAAUCGUCUGUGUCGUGUGUCGGUUAGCGAGUUUGGUGCAACAUUUGUGCCUCGCAGAGAGUCUUAAAAAGACCGUGUCGCACUCGUUUCUCGUGGCGGCGACGGCCUCUCCGUUCGGAGCCGGAACGGAAUUUUGUUUUCGAAUCUCGACCGACGGGCACGGGAAAAGAGGUCGAAUUGGGUUAGA